This is a long non-coding RNA of Acanthopagrus latus (yellowfin seabream), 352 nucleotides long. RefSeq lists it as uncharacterized. The transcript has 3 exons. The record is from RefSeq and is a predicted model, not a curated record. Lineage: Eukaryota; Metazoa; Chordata; Actinopteri; Spariformes; Sparidae.
GUUGACAUGAACAGAAGCUCUUCUCUCCCACAGAAAACACAGCUCCUGAACACCUCAAGUAAAGCUACCUGGGAGCUCAAAACACGACAAGGCCAAACGAAGAAACGGCGCUGCUGGCCGGGGCGUGUGCGAGCUGACCAAUCAGAGCAGACUGAGUAUUAAGGAGGGGGACCGGCGCUCAAACUGGUAGUACAGCGCUACAGCACUUGACGGUGGAAACCAUCUGACCACGAAUAGAGAAGUGGUGCAGUGAAAGUGGGACUAUGCGCGUGUCCCCUGUGUGUGCGUGUGGGGCGCCUCACCAGUCUGUCGAUGACGUUCUGGAUGGUCUUGUACCACUCUUUGAUCAGCG